GUUCCCAGGUGCUGCUGGUCCAGAGCCCACCCUUGGAGAACCACUGGGCUAUAGAAUGAUGUCAAGGGCUGGAGAGGGAGGCUACAGAGUGGGUCUAGGUCCAGGUACAGUCUCAGAACCACACUGCAAAACUGGCUUAGUCAGGUAGCUGCUGUAUCUGCUGCUUCCACUGUGAACUCAAAAACCACAUUGCCUGUGCUGCAGGCCGGAAAGCUGCUGAACCAGGAAGCUGUGCUGAUGCUGCUGACUGCCCCUGAGGUUAGAGAUUGACUAGACAUAGUGCCACUGUCAUCCCUGCUGGAGAAGGUCCGAAGCACCUCCACCUCUGUGCUUCCAGAGGGGCACUGUGGUGGCCACUUAAAAUGCUCAGGCUAUACCAUGCACUAGAGCAUCUACCUGGGCAAGGGAUAUGCUGUAUGACACUCUCCUGAUGCUGGGCAUGGCUGUGAGCCAAAGCACCCAGGCAGCCCUGCCAUCAGAAGGGUAAACCACGGACACCUGAUGCCUUCCUGAAGGAAGAGCACUACGCCUGCCAAACCAUCAAGCGUUGAUGCUCCAGCGCCUUCUACCCGUGGUUCUCCAGCCUCAGCAGAAGAGAGAGAAAUUGAUGACCCUGUCGUUGUAGCAUCCCCAUCACCCAGCAAUUAAUUUUAGUUCAAUGCUUCAAACGCUCUUCAGGCGCAGUGUGCGUUCAGCUGUGUCAGCUAAUGCAAAUGGGGGAUCUCAGAAGUCUUAAUGAAGUAACUAUCCCUGAACACUGGGAUCAAUACUCAGCAUCCAGCUGUCAAAUCAACACCAAGCGUUUCACUCGUCGCCCAGCCUAGAGUGCAAUGGCGCUAUUUCGGCUCAUUAUAACCUCCGCCUCCCGGGUUCAAGCAAUUCUUCUGCUUCAGCGUCCCAAGUAGCUGGGAUUACAGCCGCCUCCUGGAGCAGAUUGUUAAGCUGAUGCGAGUCUGGGCUCUGCCUCACCACUUGUCUCAGAGAAUGUCCAGUGCUAGGAGACUCAUAAGUUGGAGAGAAACGGCCUGAUUUAUAGAAACUGAGCGAGACUCCGGACCACCUGAUGCAGAGAAACCUGUGACCUGAAAAAGUCUAUUUGUGUUUCCUCUAGGAAUCUCGGCCAAGAAGACAGGGACAAGCUCCCAACUCUGACUACCCCUUUUACAGGGAAAAAAAAAAAAUCCCGUGCCUUCUUUGCAGCAAGUGACAAAUCCUUGUCAUAUCGAGAUGGCUUUUCCUCCUCCUCUUCAAACAUCUUUUAGCAGCAACAGCAGCUCAAGUAACUGGAAUUAUUUCAGAGUUAAAAUGCAGGCUUUGUAGACCCUCUUAGACAGACAGAUUCAAUUUCAAAGGAAACUUCUUUGGCUGGGUACUCAGUGAGUGUUACACAGGGAUUUGGGGAGUUAAUAUUCACUGUUUCUGUUGUUGGAGAAAAGGAAAGCAGAGUUGCUCUUUCUCAUUACUCUCCCCAACGCACAUCUGUUUCCUCUCGUAUCUUGGAAUUAGGAAGAUGGAGGAGACUUAAGUGGUGACCCACCUAGCCUCCUGAUGCAUGCUGGGCUCACUUUAAAACUCCCAAAACAGAUGGCAGUUGAUCACGGUUUUAAAGAUCCCAGCAUAGACUUUCUGCAGCCUCCCUUGUUAGCCACUAUCAGCGCUUAACAUUCUGUCAUCUGAAUAACUCCUUAAAAAUGAUAGCAAUGGUAGUAGAAAUUUAAAAGGAACCUCCCAAAAAACAUGCAAAAGCUUACCACCCCAGUAAAUCACCCGCAACAAUGUCGCAACAGUUUAAAUUUACUGCAGAGAGAGCUGAAGUUUAGGAGACACAGCUUUAUAAUAUUUUUGAGAGAUAGUUGAGUGCAAAUGAGUCCUGUUCCUCUUGCAUCAGGGCCUGCUCCACUGAGUCAUCCUGCCUUCAGAAGCUUCCAGCUAAGUGGCAGGCCCCGGCCAUAGGCUCCCUGUGUCCCCAGCCUCCAGAGAACACACAAUGUUCUCAUCGCCCUUAGCUCCAUUCCAGAAGGGGCCUGCAGUUCUGCAGCUUAUCAGGGGUCUACUGGGAAGUGAGAUGUCACUGUCCCUUUCUGGCCCUGCAUUGUCUGUGAGUGGCUCUCCUGGAUUAAGAGUUGGCAAAGUAUGGCCAGUGGCCAGGACUGGCCUGCUGCCUGUUUUUGUUUAACCCGUGAGCUAAGAAUAGUUUUUACCUAUUUUAAGUAGUUGAAAAAAAAAUCAAGAGAAGAAUACUAUUUCGUGAUAUGUGAAAAAUCACAUGAAAUUCAAAUGUAAGUGUCCAUAAAUAAAGUCUUACUGGAAGACAGCCUUGCUCAUUUAUUUCUGUCUCAUUCGCUACUGUCUGCGGCUGCCUUCACGCUACAAUGGCAGUACUGAGUAGUUGUGACGGGCACUGUAUGACAGCAAAUCCUAAAGUAUUUGCCAUCUGGCCCUUCACAGAAAAAGUUUGCUGACCCUGGCUUUCGAGCCUCUCAUCACUUUGGGAUUCAUCUCUUUACUUUCCCCAGAGUGAGGGAGGCAGUAACGUUCCUCGUGAGUGCUUAGUCCUUGCUCCCAAGGCAAUAAACCCCCCAAAACCCCUCUCUUUCUGCAGUCUUCUUGUUGGCUUGAUAGUGGUAGGGCUGGUUCAGCCAAGGUCACAGUUGGAGGGCAGGAAGGGGGUACAGCGAAGGACGACGGGGGUGUCUUCUCUAGUCCUGUUUGCAGCAAUCUUUAGAAUGCAAAAUAAUUAAGAAGAAACUGCUGUUUUUUGGCUGUGGGAUGCAAUUCGAAUUCUGGAAAAUUAGAAUCAACAGAACGUGGGAUGUGGGAGUCCAGGACAACUCCCCUGUUUUGGCUGUGUUUGGUGCCAUGUGUGGAGGUGGGAGAGAUGGGAGAAAGAAGAGGUUUGGGCAGGGGGAGGGAAGAAUCAAGAUUCUGCUUUGAAUGGACGAAGGUUGUGGUUUGUUGAGAGGACAACUAGAUAACUGGCCACUUGAAGAUGGGAUGGAAGUCUGAAUCUGCAAGGAGUCACAGAUGAAUGGUAUGGAAAGCUGUGGUAGUGGAUGAGAUCAUACGAACGGUGGGUGCAGAUGGAAACGAGAAGCCAUCUAAGGACUCGUAAUGGGCUCCUCAACACUUGGAAGUUGGGUAGAGGAAGAAGACCGCAUGAGGGCAGGAUCCUGAAUGUUCCACUCACUGCUAUAUCCCUAGCACUGGUUACAGUGCUUGGCACACACUGCAUGCUCAAUAAAUUAUUUGUUGCCCAUAUAAGUGAACGUGAAUUCCAAUGGACUAGCAUCUUCCACUCUCAACAUAAACAAAAACAACAGCAACAUUGCAAUUCCCUAUCUUCUCUUCCCUGAUCUCUUUCUCAUUCUGUCUCUCCUUCCCUUUUCCUCUGCCUUCCUGUUGCCUUCUCUGAUAUGAGUUAAAUUUAUCAGGGGUGUCCAGGUACCCGGCUAUUCUUGAGCAUUCCUUAUCUGGCUACAACUCUGGGUGACACUGGUUACUAGUUUAGUGAACGAGCCAACAUAUAUUCUUCUUUUUGUCUACAUAGUUUUUUUUAAUGUUAAACUUGUUCCUAUUGCACCUCACUCUUUAUGAACUGUCAGUUAAUGCUAUUUUGGCUCUAUUCCUACCUUAGACGGAUGCUUGACAACUUGGUGUCAUCUGACCUUAAUUAGGACAUUCUUGGUUAAGACAUUGUUGGUGUAAAGAGAGAGAUGUUCAGUAUGGGGUCCUCUCUGACAUGAGUAAGGUCACAGAGGAUGUCCCUAGGUGGAGGCUGAGUCAUCGAUAGGCUGCCUUUUGGGUGAUAUUAUUCAGCUCUUUGUGCCUGCACUUAAGACAGAAGAGAGUCUCUCUUAUUUCCUUCUAUCUAAUUGAUGAAAAGUCAUUUGUGAUGGAAUCUAAGGUCAGAUUCCAGCACAAAGAGAUUACAUCUCUUGCUCAUUCUUUAUCUACAUGGCCUAUCUACCAUCAAAGAAAAUUAAAUUGGUCUGCCAAGAUCUGAUCUACACAUACCAUUGAGAUGAGUGCAAAUUGAUUGCUUGUUUUUGCUAGAGUCACUCUUGGCACAGAAGAGAAGUGGACUUCUAUCAAUCACGGCCUGCUUGGGAGUUGCGUGGGGUGGGGCGAGGGACGUUAGAGAGACUUGACAAGGCUGGAGGCCAUGUUCAGCACCAGGCAUUAUGCCAAGCACUUGACAAGGAUUUUCUCAACUAAUAUUCACAAAUGCCCAGCGAGGUUGGUAUGAUUACAUCUGCUUUCUAGUUAAGGAAACUGAGGCUGAGAAGGCAGAGUGUCAUGUUUGAGGUCACACACUGGUAAGUGGCAGAAGCAGAACGGGAACUUCACAUCCUUCACGCUGAGUCCAGCAGUUAUAAAUGUGUGGUAUUCCAAACAGUAUCGCAUUGCAGGGAAGACAAUCUUUAAACUCCCAAAGCUUCAAACAUAACCAGGAUACAGAUCACUUCCAAAUGUUUAGCUCUGCCCUCUAAAAUCCAGCCGACAUCUCCAACUGCCUUCUGGACAUUUCUACUAGGACAUCCUUCUAAAGGCUAGAGCACAAUGUAGAAACUCAAAUAACCAUCUUCCCUUCAAAAUCCUGGCCUCUGCUCCUCACUGUCCCGUUUCUUCAUGGUAUGUCAUUCUGCCAAACUUCUCAAAACCUGAGUUAUUCUGAAUCUCUCCUCAGAGAUUGUAUCCCUAAAACAUUUCUUAUCUCCAUCUCUAUCUCCAUUUUCACUAUCACUACC
RNAcentral lists this long non-coding RNA (4748 nucleotides) under Homo sapiens (human). RNAcentral describes it as "HSALNT0372436". The record is from RNAcentral. Lineage: Eukaryota; Metazoa; Chordata; Mammalia; Primates; Hominidae.